GUGGGGAAUAUUGGACAAUGGGCGAAAGCCUGAUCCAGCCAUGCCGCGUGUGUGAAGAAGGUCUUCGGAUUGUAAAGCACUUUAAGUUGGGAGGAAGGGCAGUAAGUUAAUACCUUGCUGUUUUGACGUUACCGACAGAAUAAGCACCGGCUAACUUCGUGCCAGCAGCCGCGGUAAUACGAAGGGUGCAAGCGUUAAUCGGAAUUACAGGGCGUAAAGCGCGCGUAGGUGGUUUUGUAAGUUGGAGGUGAAAUCCCCGGGCUCAACCUGGGAACUGCCUCCAAAACUGCAUGACUAGAGUACGGUAGAGGGUAGUGGAAUUUCCUGUGUAGCGGUGAAAUGCGUAGAUAUAGGAAGGAACACCAGUGGCGAAGGCGACUACCUGGACUGAUACUGACACUGAGGUGCGAAAGCGUGGGGAGCAAACAGGAUUAGAAACCCGUGUAGUCC
This 450-nucleotide ribosomal RNA is filed under the name uncultured bacterium. RNAcentral's name for it is "partial 16S ribosomal RNA". It matches the Rfam family "Bacterial small subunit ribosomal RNA", at positions 354 to 796 of the family's 1533-position model. The record is from RNAcentral.